UACGGAGGAUCCGAGCGUUAUCCGGAUUCAUUGGGUUUAAAGGGUGCGUAGGUUGUUUUAUAAGUUAGCGGUGAAAUACCGAUGCUCAACAUCGGGGCUGCCGCUGAUACUGUAGGACUAGAGAUCGGAUGCAGCAGGCGGAAUGCGCGGUGUAGCGGUGAAAUGCAUAGAUAUCGCGCAGAACUCCGAUUGCGAAGGCAGCAUGCCGGCUCCACACUGACGCUGAGGCACGAAAGCGUGGGUAUCGAGCAGG
This 253-nucleotide ribosomal RNA is filed under the name uncultured Rikenellaceae bacterium. Its description in RNAcentral is "partial 16S ribosomal RNA". It matches the Rfam family "Bacterial small subunit ribosomal RNA", at positions 524 to 776 of the family's 1533-position model. The record is from RNAcentral. Lineage: Bacteria; Pseudomonadati; Bacteroidota; Bacteroidia; Bacteroidales; Rikenellaceae.